RNAcentral lists this ribosomal RNA (490 nucleotides) under uncultured bacterium. RNAcentral describes it as "partial 16S ribosomal RNA". It matches the Rfam family "Bacterial small subunit ribosomal RNA", at positions 29 to 506 of the family's 1533-position model. The record is from RNAcentral.
GUGAACGCUGGCGGUAGGCCUAACACAUGCAAGUCGAACGGCAGCACAGUAAGAGCUUGCUCUUACGGGUGGCGAGUGGCGGACGGGUGAGGAAUACAUCGGAAUCUACUUUUUCGUGGGGGAUAACGUAGGGAAACUUACGCUAAUACCGCAUACGACCUACGGGUGAAAGCAGGGGAUCUUCGGACCUUGCGCGAUUGAAUGAGCCGAUGUCGGAUUAGCUAGUUGGCGGGGUAAAGGCCCACCAAGGCGACGAUCCGUAGCUGGUCUGAGAGGAUGAGCAGCCACACUGGAACUGAGACACGGUCCAGACUCCGACGGGAGGCAGCAGUGGGGAAUAUUGGACAAUGGGCGCAAGCCUGAUCCAGCCAUACCGCGUGGGUGAAGAAGGCCUUCGGGUUGUAAAGCCCUUUUGUUGGGAAAGAAAAGCAGCAGGUUAAUACCCCGCUGUUCUGACGGUACCCAAAGAAUAAGCACCGGCUAACUUCGU